Molecule: ribosomal RNA, 587 nt
Filed under: Janibacter sp.
Lineage: Bacteria; Bacillati; Actinomycetota; Actinomycetes; Micrococcales; Intrasporangiaceae
Description: bacterial SSU rRNA
Rfam family: Bacterial small subunit ribosomal RNA
Source: RNAcentral
UGAGCAACCUGCCCCUGACUCUGGAAUAAGCGCUGGAAACGGCGUCUAAUACUGGAUACGAGAAGGGUCCGCAUGGGCACUUUCUGGAAAGUUUUUCGGUUGGGGAUGGGCUCGCGGCCUAUCAGCUUGUUGGUGAGGUAAUGGCUCACCAAGGCGACGACGGGUAGCCGGCCUGAGAGGGCGACCGGCCACACUGGGACUGAGACACGGCCCAGACUCCUACGGGAGGCAGCAGUGGGGAAUAUUGCACAAUGGGCGAAAGCCUGAUGCAGCGACGCCGCGUGAGGGAUGACGGCCUUCGGGUUGUAAACCUCUUUCAGCAGGGAAGAAGCGAAAGUGACGGUACCUGCAGAAGAAGCACCGGCUAACUACGUGCCAGCAGCCGCGGUAAUACGUAGGGUGCGAGCGUUGUCCGGAAUUAUUGGGCGUAAAGAGCUUGUAGGCGGUUUGUCGCGUCUGCUGUGAAAAUCCGGGGCUCAACCCCGGACUUGCAGUGGGUACGGGCAGACUAGAGUGUGGUAGGGGAGACUGGAAUUCCUGGUGUAGCGGUGAAAUGCGCAGAUAUCAGGAGGAACACCGAUGGCGAA